UACGGGGGGAGCAAGCGUUGUUCGGAUUUACUGGGCGUAAAGGGCGCGUAGGCGGUCGUGACAAGUCACUUGUGAAAUCUCCGGGCUUAACUCGGAACGGUCAAGUGAUACUGUCGGACUAGAGUACAGAAGGGGCAACUGGAAUUCUCGGUGUAGCGGUGAAAUGCGUAGAGAUCGGGAGGAACACCAGUGGCGAAGGCGACUCUCUGGCCUGUAACUGACGCUGAGGCGCGAAAGCGUGGGGAGCAAACAGG
RNAcentral lists this ribosomal RNA (254 nucleotides) under uncultured bacterium. RNAcentral describes it as "partial 16S ribosomal RNA". It matches the Rfam family "Bacterial small subunit ribosomal RNA", at positions 524 to 776 of the family's 1533-position model. The record is from RNAcentral.